RNAcentral lists this ribosomal RNA (460 nucleotides) under uncultured bacterium. RNAcentral describes it as "partial 16S ribosomal RNA". It matches the Rfam family "Bacterial small subunit ribosomal RNA", at positions 338 to 795 of the family's 1533-position model. The record is from RNAcentral.
CCUACGGGUGACAGCAGUGAGGAAUAUUGGUCAAUGGACGAGAGUCUGAACCAGCCAAGUAGCGUGAAGGAUGACUGCCCUAUGGGUUGUAAACUUCUUUUAUAUGGGAAUAAAAUGUUCCACGUGUGGGAUUUUGUAUGUACCAUAUGAAUAAGGAUCGGCUAACUCCGUGCCAGCAGCCGCGGUAAUACGGAGGAUCCGAGCGUUAUCCGGAUUUAUUGGGUUUAAAGGGAGCGUAGGUGGAUGGUUAAGUCAGUUGUGAAAGUUUGCGGCUCAACCGUAAAAUUGCAGUUGAAACUGGCAGUCUUGAGUACAGUAGAGGUGGGCGGAAUUCGUGGUGUAGCGGUGAAAUGCUUAGAUAUCACGAAGAACGCCGAUUGCGAAGGCAGCUCACUGGACUGCAACUGACACUGAGGCUCGAAAGUGUGGGUAGCAAACAGGAUUAGAUACCCGAGUAGUC